UAUAUACUCCCUCCGUCCCAAAAUUAUUGUCAUAGGUUUGUCUAAAAAUGGAUGUAUCUAAAUACCAAAACAUGUCUAGAUAGAUUCAUAUCUAGACAAGACUAAGACAAUAAUUUUAAGAUGGGGGAGUACUAC
Molecule: non-coding RNA, 135 nt
Organism: Hordeum vulgare subsp. vulgare (domesticated barley)
Lineage: Eukaryota; Viridiplantae; Streptophyta; Magnoliopsida; Poales; Poaceae
Source: Rfam